This is a long non-coding RNA of Scylla paramamosain (green mud crab), 2293 nucleotides long. RefSeq lists it as uncharacterized. The transcript has 5 exons. The record is from RefSeq and is a predicted model, not a curated record. NCBI's taxonomy places the organism in Eukaryota, Metazoa, Arthropoda, Malacostraca, Decapoda, Portunidae.
UGUGUGUGUGUGUGCACGCGCGCCUUGUCCCGGCGUUCAGAGUGUGACUCCGCUGCUCUACCUAUACCCGUGUGGAUAACACGCCCGCCCGGAGUGAGGGAUGGGCGCAACAAUAACAUCUUUGUUGGCCCUGUCGAAGGCACCCUUAAGAUCAACGAAAGCUCUGCAGGAGUGAGUGAGGCAGGAUGAGUCUGAUGGGUGCUUAGGCUGAGAGUCACGCCGCUGGGUCAGUGAGGGGUACGGCCGGCAGUAUGGUGACUCCUACGGCGGCGGUCAUCACAGGAGUACUCAUGUGACAGGAGCAGCAGUUGGGGGGCGGUCACAGGGGAGGGGGCUGAUGGCGAAACCAUGGGAGGGGGAGAUGGUGCCGGGGAGUGGCAGGGUGGCCGGCCUUAUGCUGCAGGGGACGGCCGCUGCUCCGGACAUCAUGGCGUAUGGAUAACCUGGAGUCCGAAGUGGCACUUAAUAUUCUCAAUGCUGUGGUGACUAAUAAAGAAGAGGCACAGUGGUCAAGACAGGGACUGGGAAGGCAGACAGAAGAGGAGGAUGGACUGGAUGAGUAACAGCAGUACUAGUAGAAGUAGUAGUAGUGAUAGUUUGAUCAUAGUAGAGAUAGCAGUAAAAUAUCUAGUUGUAUUAUUAGAAGUAGUAGCAAUAGUAGAAGUAAUACCAGUAGUAGAAGUAGCUUGGUCAAAGUAGUAAUGGUAAUAGUAGUGAUAGCAGGAUGUUAUUUAACUGUAUAAAAGAAAGAUUAAAUCCAUAUAUAAAACUUAUUGGCAGGACCAGUAGCAGCAGCAGUAGUAGUAUUAGGAACACCGUGGUCAUAAUAACAGAAGUAGAACCAUAACAAUUCACUAUAUAAAACAAAAAGCACCAAACUAAUAUAGCAUCAACAACAACAACAACAGCAACAGUAGCAGUAGUAGUAGUAGUAAUAGUAGCAGCAGUAGUAGUAGUAGUAACAACACUAACUCCAACACUUUACCAACAGGACGACCAGUACUAUGGGUCUGGCUGUGGCAUCCUACCCACCCCCCGGAUGCCCCCAUGCUAACUGCCCUGGCGCGACCCUAACAUUGGCCCUGCACACUCCUGGGGUGUGGUGGGGGGCUUUGUACCAGGGCGGCCGGGGCGGGGGCGGGGUAGAGCAACAGGACUGGGGUACAAGAUGAAGAAAACGUUGCCGGCUAAGAAGAAAAUAGGAGCUAAGGAGGUUAAGACAAGUGGUGGUGGUGGUGGUGGUGCUGGUGGUGUGAAACCGAGGAUAAGACUGUAUCAUCAGUCUGAUGAUAUUUUGAAUAUCAAUUAUUUAACUUCUGCAACACCUGAGGACAAGACAGGAGCCAGCUCCUCCCAGAAUGAGCCCACACCUGCACCUGAGGACACACCCACACCUGCACCCAAGCCUUCACCCACCCCCAGCACCCACUCCAGCAUCCAGCACAGCCCAGGGGAAGGCCCAGGGCAGGCAGCCAAGGGCCGAGGCAGGGGCAGGGGUGUGGCGUGGGGGAGGAGAGUGUGAAGUGUGUGGGUUAGGUUUGUAUGUGGUACUUUGUCUGGGCUGCUCCAUAUGUGGGAGAGCUCGGUUGGUGUAGAGAUGGAUAGAUAGAUGUGUGUGUGUGUGUAUGUGUGUGUGUGUGUGUGUGUGUGUGUGUGUGUGUGUGUGUGUGUGUGUGUGUGUGAGGGAUUUGUACUUCAUUCAAGCAUCUUUUAUUUUUACUACUGCUACUAUCUUGUUCACUACUGGAAGAUUAGUACUAAGAUGUGAUUCUUGUUAUUUUUAAGGGUAUUAUUCCAAUGUUUUUUGUAUGAUUGCAUCUCAUUCCUGUUGUACUUGAGAGAGAGAGAGAGAGAGAGAGAGAGAACAGGCCCCAUUGCACAAACUAAUGAUAAAAAAAACUCACAACCAUUCCAAAAAGUAUAAAUAUGUUAGUUUUGUCAGUAGAUUUUGCAAGAAAGGAAAUUUGAAAUACAGGAGUGUGUGGGAGAGGCAAAGGAUAUGUAGGACGGCAGAUUAGUGUGUGAAGGAUGUGUAGGAGAGGCUGAGGAUAUCCUGUACACUGUGUCAGGAUGGUUAAGGGUGAUUUGGAAGGAAGCUAGUGUGUGAAGGAUGCAUUAGGUAGGAUGUGUAGUAGUGGGUACAAUGUGUUAAGAAUGAUAUGUAUGUUACAGGAGAUAAGGAUGUGUAUUUUCACCACAAGUAUGUGUACAGAUUGGUGUUAACACAGUAGGAAGGUUUGAUGAAGCUGGACCAUCAUUCCUUGUGUUGUCUUAAUAAAUGUAUGCAAACUGA